GGAGAGAUGGCUGAGCGGUUGAAGGCGAUGCUCUUGAAAAGCAUUGAGGGUUAACGCCCUCCGUGGGUUCGAAUCCCACUCUCUCCG
This 87-nucleotide transfer RNA is filed under the name Patescibacteria group bacterium. RNAcentral's name for it is "tRNA-Ser". It matches the Rfam family "tRNA". Rfam says of the family: Transfer RNA (tRNA) molecules are approximately 80 nucleotides in length. Their secondary structure includes four short double-helical elements and three loops (D, anti-codon, and T loops). Further hydrogen bonds mediate the characteristic L-shaped molecular structure. tRNAs have two regions of fundamental functional importance: the anti-codon, which is responsible for specific mRNA codon recognition, and the 3' end, to which the tRNAs corresponding amino acid is attached (by aminoacyl-tRNA synthetases). tRNAs cope with the degeneracy of the genetic code in two manners: having more than one tRNA (with a specific anti-codon) for a particular amino acid; and 'wobble' base-pairing, i.e. permitting non-standard base-pairing at the 3rd anti-codon position. The record is from RNAcentral.